Molecule: transfer RNA, 119 nt
Rfam family: tRNA
About the family: Transfer RNA (tRNA) molecules are approximately 80 nucleotides in length. Their secondary structure includes four short double-helical elements and three loops (D, anti-codon, and T loops).
GCCGGGCUAGCUCAAUCGGUAGAGCGUGCGGCUCUUAUGAGUUGAGAUUCUUCGAGUAUUUGAAUAUCCAAUCCAAUUGAUCAACCGCAAGGCUGCGGGUUCGACCCCCGCGUUCGGCU